UGUCAGCUAAAUGUAGCCUCAUGUCACUAAUAAUUAUUCAAAUGUUCAUGCUUUUAAUAAAUCGUUUUGGCCUGCCACCAUAUCAGUGAAUUUAAACUAAUGCUUGCAUUCAAAGUAUAAGGUGUGUGUGCGCGCGUUUAGGAGUGCACCUCCGGAGACUCAGUGUUUGAAAACUAAAAUACCCUCUCCCUCUCUCUCCCCCUCUCUCUCUCUCCCUCUCUCUACCCCUCUCCCUCUCGCUCUCUCUACCCCUCUCCCUCUUUCUCCCCCUCUUUUUGCCAAUAUCAGCCAGUGGAGGAUGUCCUCCUGGAGAGUUUUUUUAUUUUAUUUUUUUAAUUUUAUUUUUAUACCACACCGUGGUAUCGACUUUGGUAUCGAGUAUCGUGUACUUUUGGUGGCACUGACUACUAGAUUUUUGCUAUCGUGACAUACCUAGUUUAGAGUUUAAUUGACUUUAGUCGAGGAUUUUAGCACAUUUUUUCAACAUAUUAACAUUACCAUUAUCUUUACAUUUACAUUUAUUCACUUAGCAGACGCUUUUAUCCAAAGUGACUUACAAAUGAGAAAGAUACAAGCAAAGCGAUAUCAAGCAGAGAACAAUACAAGAAGUGCUACCAUACGAGAUCUAUUAAUUGAAUUCCAGAAGAAGCAAAGUGCAGAGUAGAGGUUUGUUUUUUGAAGAUGGUGAGAGAUUCUGCGGUCCGGAUUGAGAUUGGAAGUGCAUUCCACCACUGAGGAACAGUUAGUGUGAAGAUUUUGGAAAGGGACCUUGCACCACGCUGAGUUGGAACUGCUAAACGUCGGUCGCUAAUCAAUCGCAGAUUGCGAGAGGGAACGUAGGCCUUCAGGAGAGAGUUGAGGUGAGGUGAUGCCUGAAAAGCCCAGGUGUUGCUUGUUGAAUGGUGGCCUGCUGGGAGCAGGUGAGUCUUUAGAACUUCACCUUUGUUCGUGUGCCGGACGUUUGUUGAAUUAGUUGUAGUUGUUCG
Molecule: long non-coding RNA, 986 nt
Organism: Ictalurus furcatus (blue catfish)
Lineage: Eukaryota; Metazoa; Chordata; Actinopteri; Siluriformes; Ictaluridae
Exons: 3
Source: RefSeq, a predicted model, not a curated record